GGGAGCCGGAUGCCUUAAUUGGGCACGUCCGGUUCUGAGAGGGGCUGAUUCUGUAAGGACUCAGUCUACUCACC
Molecule: unclassified non-coding RNA, 74 nt
Filed under: Paenibacillus macquariensis
Lineage: Bacteria; Bacillati; Bacillota; Bacilli; Caryophanales; Paenibacillaceae
Source: RNAcentral